UAGUAAAUUUAUGCAGAAACUGUGGAGAGUCCCAAGUUAAAUAAAGCUGCCAGGUUGGAGUUACUCGGCUUCUUAAAAAGAGGGUCACUAGCCUAGGCGCCCUGUAGCCUCCCUGCCCAGCUGCUUCUCUUUGUUUGUUUUUGUUUUUGUCUUUCUGACUUUUCUAGGGCUGCUCCUGUGGCAUAGGGACAUUCCCAGGCCAGGGGUCUAAUCGGAGUUGUAGCCACCGGCCUUCUCCAGAGCCACAGCAACGCCGGAUCCGAGCCAUGUCUGCGACCCACACCACAGCUCAUGGCAACGCCGGAUCCUCAACCCCCUGAGCAAGGCCAGGGAUAGAACCUGCAACCUCAUGGUUUCUAGUUGGAUGUGUUAGCCACGGAGCCAUGACGGGAACUCCCUCUUUGUUUUGGGAAGUGUUUUCCGACCCCCUUAGCUUACAUUGCUAAGCCGGACAGUCUGACAGUGAGGGUUGCGGCAUAAACUACAUGUUUCUGAGCAAAGAACGGUUAGCGAUCACCACUUACUUCUUGGUGUGAUCUUCUGAAACUCCAGAAAGGGAAAAGCAGGCUAUCUUCUCCUUUACUUUCUCUGGAACGUUUCCCAGAGAAAUUAAUGUUCACUUCUGCUUUUCAGUGGAGAUUAUUUUAAAAAAGAAGAAGAGGCCAAGAAAAGGUGCCAAUACAUACAAUUUGGGAGACGAGUCAGGUGCAUUCCAGAUGGCGGGGAACUUGGCUGAUGGACUUGCCAGGGGGAAAUCCACCCGGCUGAAUAGCCAUAGCACAACCACCUUUGAUCUGCCAAAGGUUUCUACAGCAAAGCAAGCCAGUGCGUAUAACGAAGCCAUCUAAUGAGAAAGUAGUUCCUGAUGCGGGGCCCCUCCCUCCAAAUACAAUACGAUAAAAGGAGAGAGACAUGGUUUAUGGUGAAGUUACCGCUGGGACCAAGUACAGUGCAGAUCACCGCCAAGACAAUAAUUGUCAGAGGCUUGGAGACCUGAAUAUAUAACUCCUUGGCACCGUCUAAGGAACCACAGCAGUUUCUAAAUUUUCACAAAACCAGACACAGCAAUGGGGAGGAUGGCUCCUUGGGGAUGCCGUUAGGAAUCUGAGACUUUUGGCAGCGUUUGCUGCAACUGGCCAACGUGUGGAUGGCCGUAUAGGACUGGUAGACGCUGGGGAGAAUCAAUUCUGGAUUUCUUUAAAAGGAGAGGCAAGGAGUCUAAGGCUGAAGGGAAUGGAAAUCAUCUCUGGCUUCUACAAAGCAACCAGUCUUUUAUUUCAGCUUCUCUUGUAACUGGAGAGAACCUGUCACUCCACAAAAAUUAGGGAGUUCCCAUUGUGGCAGAGCGGAAACAAAUCCGCUAGUAUCCAUGAGGAUGCGGGUCCAAUCCCUGGCCCCACGCAGUGGGUGAGGGAGCCAGCGUUGCCCGUGAGCUGUGGUGUAGGUCAGAGUUGCGGCUCGGAUCUGGUGUUGGUGUGGUUGUGGUGUAGGCCUGCGGCUACAGCUCCAGUUCCAUCCCUAGCCUGGGAAGCUCCGUAUGCCUCAGGUGCGGUGCUAAAAAGCAAAAGAAAACAACAACAGCAAAAACCCAAAUGGGGAGUCUUCAGGGUUCCAUGUAGGUUUCUAGGUCAAAAUACAAGGAUGAGAGAGACGUGUCCCUGUCUUCGGUUGCAGGGGGGAGAAGGGCUCCCUGGGUACCAGUGCUGUCGUGAGGGCUCGGGCUCCCACGCGGAGUAAAACUCCCGAGAGAAGACGGAGGGCCGGGCUCCCGUUUCUCCUCCCGUGUGGUUUUUCAUCUCGUGGAAUUGUUUGUCUCCAGCCUCAGAGACAGUAAAUUUCCGCCGACACGCCGACAGCCCUCGCGGAACAUCUGCAUAACGAUGGGAUUUAUUCUGCUCAUUAUGACUCUGCUGCGGAGCGCGGCCCUAUUUCACUCCUGCAGACGAGCCGCGCUUCUGUAAAUCAUCCCGCGGGCUCUUCGGGCGAAUGGCCGGCCGUCUUGGGAGAAACUGGCACAUCAUCUCCGAGUUGUCUCGGCGUCUUCAUUUGGGUUAUUUCUGUGUCAUAAAAGUUAUGGCAUAUCAGACAGAAGAAGGAUCAAGAAAGCCUCUGAUAAAUACUUUUCAACAAGCUCGAGACAAACCUAAUAACAGAGCCACCGAGGCUUCAAAGUAGACUCUAAAUGCUUCCCCGCGCCACGCACUCCAAGGCGGCUGCGCCUCUCUCUGGAAAUCAGGCCCCUUUUCUGCUCCAGGCACUCUGCUCAGUGUGGAGUGAUGGGAAUUUCAUCUUGCUCGCUGGAUAAGCUGUCCAGCUCGGAGAUGAGUUUUGUGUUCCUCAGAAUGCCUCUCCCCUUUGAGUUUUGAGAACAUAACCAAUAUGCACAGAAGCAGCCCUUAAGUGCAAAGACCAACAGAGACCACGAGUUUCUGGACAAAAGACACCCCACUCCGGAGUGCCUUCAGCUGUCCGCCAUCACUCAAGGCCUCACAGACUAUUUUCCUCCCCCUCUUGCUCUCAUUUAUCUUCCUUUCAGGAUUUGGCACAAAACCCCCAGGCCUGCAGCUGGCAGUUGAUCUAAGGUUCAGGCUAUUUUCUGAAGGGUCUUCCAGUGUUGCAUUAUGGAAACACACAGCCCCGUGGAGGGAAGGAGAAUGUUUGGCCAAGAGGGAGCUGGGCUUUGGGAAGAGGGUGAGAGGAGACAUGUGUUGCUCAGGGUGCUUCAGAGAACCAGAAUCGGCAGGAUGCACCUGUAUCUGCGUCUGUAGGUGAAUAUACACAUCUCUAUAGAGAAUAGAUUUAUUAUUUGAAAAAUGGCUCGUGUGAUAAUGAAGGCAGGCCAAUCCCAGGAUCUGCAGGGUGCGUUGGCAAGCUGCAUCUGGGCGAGCUGAUGGUAGUAGCAUUCCAGUCUUAGUCCGACACCCUGAGCCAAGAGAACACACCAUGGUUCCAUUCUGAAGGCCAGCAGACUCAAGACCCAGGAAGAGGCCGUGUGUCAGUUUGAGUCUGAACGUUGAACAAAGCCACUGGCCCAGUUUGAAGGCAGUCAGAUAGGAAAGAAUUCUCACUUACUCAGAGGAGGGUCCACUUUUUGUUCUCUUCAGGCCUUCAACUGAUUGGAUGAGGCCCACCCACUCCAGGAGGGCAGUCUGCUUUCCCCAGUCUGUCAGUUCAAAAGCUGAUCGCAUCCCCAAAACACUCUCAUAGAAACACCUAGAAAAAUGUCUGGCCAAGUAUCUGAGCCCUCAGGGGUCCAGUCAAGCUAAAAUUUAGCACUGACCACCAAGAGAGUGAUACGAAAUGAGACCCCAGGAAGCAUGCUCUGCCUGGGUCUUAUUUACCUGUGCCACCUUGGGAGUGGGUCCAAGACCAUGAUGCAUCAGGGAGAUGGUUGUCUCUCUGACGAAGUGAUAGUGGCAGAGGAUCAUGCUGCCACCACCACCCCUCUGUCCCCACCACAAAUAGCAAAGCUCUUGGCAUGAAAGACUUGUUUUCUUAAGGAAGUUUUCAGACCGUGGGAUUAUUUGUUCCUGUGGUCUCCGGGGUCUAGGACAAGGGUGGGAAUGGCCCCCAAGGAAAGGCAGGGAACAAGGAGUCUUGCCUUCGUCGGUGAGUGUCACUGUCUGCACGGCCGUUCAUCCGCUGUGCACUGUGGCUGCUUCGUGUUCAUUGGGCAAUGCCCAGUGCCACAGAGACCUCCACUGAGGCCUCCGGGCCAUGAAGCGUGAAGGCGGGUUCUCUCCGGGAGCCACCCUGCUGGAGCUGGAGCAAGACCUGCCCCCUUCCAGGUGUCUCCGAGCACAGCCGUGUCUGCCACCUUUGGUGACUUUGCCUCCCCCAGCCUGCUCUCCGUCCCUUCUCUUCCCAGCCUCUGAAAGCCCCUCUUUAGGGCGAGUCCUGCCUGCCUGUUCAACGUGGAAGAUGAAGUCCCCGGGCUAAGCCUUGACUUGCUAAGCAAAACUUUGGCUGCCCCGUUAUCUUUAAAUGCACCCCCUGAAACACAGGUGAAUUUAUUCACGCCCCUGGGGGCAAGGAAGUCCACAACUCAAGUUCUCCGAGACCCCAGAAAAUUCACAAAAAAAGGAAUGGAGGUGAGGGCAAAGGUUAGGGAGGGCAGAGGGUAGGAAAAAAAGAGCAAAAGAGUGCAGACUCCUUUCUGAAAUUGCAAAGGUGGAGACCAACAAUAAUAACCAUAAUUAUACCCAUAUCCUGUCAUUAUUUCUCAAUUUCAUCCUGUUAUCAUCUUCCAUAUAGUAGAUACAAUACUCAGUUGCUUUUUUCUAUUUCUCCUUGAAUUGUCCUAACUUUGUAAGGAUUUCCCCUGUAUUCCAGAUAAGGCAAGGGAGAGAAGGUACAUUUUUCACUCCAGGCGCUGUGCUGGGUACUUUAGGUAUCUUUCCAUUACAAUUUUCCCCCAGACGUAGGUCACAUUUUAUGUCCACUUCACAGAGGAGACAUCUAAGGAGCAACCUGUUGAGGACUGAUGCCAAAAGCUUAGAGCUGUCCAUUUGGCCGGCACGAGAGGAAGGGCUUCCAAACGCUGUGUCGAAAAAUCAGGCCACCCCCCCAGCUGCAUGGGAGGUCACCUCUAGGCUAAGGCACCCUGGAUCGUCCACUCUGCCCCUGGGUAUUCUUCUGGAAGUUUCUCUGAAUCCGAAGCCCUGAGGCCUAUGGGGUUUAUUGGGAGGAAGGAAGGAGGGGAGGGAGGAUUAAGGUCACCAUAGCGCAGCGACACUGUAACCGUAACACAGCGACACUGUGCUUAUUAAGAAGAUACAACUAGAAGGCAAAUGAAUGCUAAAUGAGAAAUUUUAUUUUCAGUUCUCACUUCUGUCUGCUGGACCGUUCUGCUCUCCCUAUAGUGUAGCAAUGAUAAUAUAUAUAUAUAUAUAAAAAAACCCUGCAUAAUUUCUUUUCAUCAUCUCUAAACACUGUUUAUUGAGUAUCUAAGCGGAUGGGCUAGUUGCGUGGAAAGACAUGAAAUCGGCCGACUGACAAAUUCACAGCACGCGUUGAGGCUGGGGCCUCGGGUGCCUGGAUGCAAAGCCACACGUUUUAAAAUGACAGGUAUUUAGGAAUUCCUUCCCUGGAGCCCUCUGUCCCCUGC
Molecule: long non-coding RNA, 5107 nt
Filed under: Sus scrofa (pig)
Lineage: Eukaryota; Metazoa; Chordata; Mammalia; Artiodactyla; Suidae
Description: lncRNA (ENSSSCG00040031195.1)
Source: RNAcentral